UAGAGUUUGAUCCUGGCUCAGGAUGAACGCUGGCGGCGUGCCUAAUACAUGCAAGUCGAGCGAACAGAUAAGGAGCUUGCUCCUUUGACGUUAGCGGCGGACGGGUGAGUAACACGUGGAUAACCUACCUAUAAGACUGGGAUAACUUCGGGAAACCGGAGCUAAUACCGGAUAAGAUUUUGAACCGCAUGGUUCAAUAGUGAAAGACGGCCUUGCUGUCACUUAUAGAUGGAUCCGCGCCGUAUUAGCUAGUUGGUAAGGUAACGGCUUACCAAGGCAACGAUACAAAANCCGACCUGAGAGGGUGAUCGGCCACACUGGAACUGAGACACGGUCCAGACUCCUACGGGAGGCAGCAGUAGGGAAUCUUCCGCAAUGGGCGAAAGCCUGACGGAGCAACGCCGCGUGAGUGAUGAAGGUCUUCGGAUCGUAAAACUCUGUAUCAGGGAAGAACAA
Molecule: ribosomal RNA, 456 nt
Filed under: Staphylococcus pasteuri
Lineage: Bacteria; Bacillati; Bacillota; Bacilli; Caryophanales; Staphylococcaceae
Description: bacterial SSU rRNA
Rfam family: Bacterial small subunit ribosomal RNA
Source: RNAcentral